GAAGGCAAGAGUUUGGAGAAGACUGCAUAGACAUCUGCCGGAAGUCAUAAUGCCAUCACACAUUCCAUGAUGCACAUUAUAUGACUUACCUGGGCCCAAAACCAGAGACUGAAAUUCUUAACAAGGCUUAUUCAGCAAAAGGAUCAUGAUAAUCAGGGAAGAGAGGAAGAUUUAUGUUUACAAAGGGCUGCAAUCAAGGCCUCUAUGAAUCCUGUGAAGCAAAGCUUAUCUUCAUGCUGCAAAUUUGGUAUUUUCAAGAGUCUCUCUGGAUGCAGAUCAGAAUCAAAUCAAGGUGAAGGCAAAGCAGAUGUUAACUAUUUCAUUCUUUCAUCACAACUUUGCUGUAUUAUACUUGGUGUCUGAAACACUGUGAUUUUGGACAAUGCAAAAUAAUGGGGAAUAAGUCAAAUGUAUAUAUCUAUAACAAUGACCUUGCUGUUUUGGAAUAAUAUCUGGAUUGAACCAGAUAUUAAUGGAUUAAUGGUUCUUUAGCAGGAUUAUUACAAUAGCCGCAAGCAAUUAUUCAAGAAAGAUGUACUAAAUGGAUACUAAAUUGUCA
This is a long non-coding RNA of Pantherophis guttatus, 559 nucleotides long. RefSeq lists it as uncharacterized. NCBI's taxonomy places the organism in Eukaryota, Metazoa, Chordata, Lepidosauria, Squamata, Colubridae. The record is from RefSeq and is a predicted model, not a curated record.